Molecule: long non-coding RNA, 365 nt
Organism: Triticum dicoccoides
Lineage: Eukaryota; Viridiplantae; Streptophyta; Magnoliopsida; Poales; Poaceae
Exons: 3
Source: RefSeq, a predicted model, not a curated record
CGUGUUGACAAUGAAGGUGGUGACCGCGGCGGCGAGCGGCGCGAGUUGGUGGCUGCGGGACUGGAUGACACGGCUCAUAUAUGAGCUUCUGACUAAUCCAGCUUCUUUUGGUCCAGCUGGGCAUUACUUUGAGUUCAUAUAUGUGCUUGUCACUCCAUAGGAGCGCAUGAUAGACUACUAAAUGGACAAGUAUCUGCAACGUUCAGCGUCAAAGAUGAUGCUUACCAGAUGUUCUACAGCAGCCCCAUCCAUAUCAUCGGCAUGAAGUUAGAUUUUGGCCUUCAUUCGUUAAAAGUUUGUGUACAAGGAACUCCAGGAGUAGAAUCCUAAAGAGAACUCGCACCCAACAAUGUGCUUUAGCUCUC